RNAcentral lists this long non-coding RNA (1138 nucleotides) under Mus musculus (house mouse). RNAcentral describes it as "long non-coding RNA chr4:141664222-141665360". The record is from RNAcentral. Lineage: Eukaryota; Metazoa; Chordata; Mammalia; Rodentia; Muridae.
GGGGCGAUGGAGACCUGGGAGCUCAGAGAUCCGGAGCCCCGGGGACCUGCAGACCUAGGGGACUCACACAGCCCGGAUCGCAUAGACCCAGGACCUCACAGAGCCAGAAUCGCAUAGAUCCGGCACCGCAGAGCCUCGGGACCUCAAACACGCUGGGACUCAAAGACUUCGCCUCCCACUUCCCAAUCCUGCACAAACUCCUCAUGAGACCCUGGGAGCUCACCGAUCUCCAGAGCCACCCUGCUCAAAGACCCCGGGAACCUCACAGACCCCGGGCCCCCUCCCAGCUCCUCUGAGAUACCGUAUUGUCCGUGUUGUCGUUCCCCUAACCCCUUGCAGCAAGGCCCUGCACGGGCCUAAAAACUGCCCCAGCUCCUUAGAUAUUGCUCCCUCUCUCCUUGCCCACACUUCCCUUCCCUGUAACAUUCAAAGGCUCUCCUUCCAGGACCCGGCCAACUCCUUGAAGACCCCACUCAGGACCAGGACAGACGGGGCCCCUCCCUCAUUCCAAACCUGACAUUCCUCACCCUUGCCCACAAGGGGCCCCAGAUAUACCCGAAUACUCGAGAGACUCUGGAGACAAGGCUUGGCCUGGCAGAGACACCUACCUAUUCCUUUCCAACUGCUCCACGCACACCCCAGGGUUCCGAGGUUUGGACCGCCUAGAGCCACUCCAGCACCCAACGUUGCCCUGAUGCCAGAGCUCAGCCCUCCAUCCUCUCCAACACUCCAAUUCACCGUUCUCAAGGUAUCUUCUACUUCCAAAACAAGCCCUCUUCCCUAUCGGCCCUCACACCCUCUGUCUUGGCUAGUUUUGUGUCAGCUCGACCAGGGACACAAGCUAGGUUCAUCUGAGAGGAGAAAAACUCAGUUGAGAAAACGCCUCCAUAAGAUAAGGCUGUAUGACAUUUUCUUAAUUAGUGAUUGAUGGGGGGUGGGAGGGAACACAGCCCAUUGUGGUGCCAUCCCUGGACUGGUGGUCCUGGGUUCUAUAAGGAAGCAGGCUGAGCAACGUAGGGGAAGACAAGCCAUCAGCUCCUGCCUCCAGGUUCUUGCCUGGUUUGACUUCCUGACUUAGCAUCCCUCAGUAGACUGUAAUUCGGGACAUGUAAGCCAAAUAAACCCCUCCUCCACCCCC